This 587-nucleotide ribosomal RNA is filed under the name uncultured Bacteroidota bacterium. Its description in RNAcentral is "bacterial SSU rRNA". It matches the Rfam family "Bacterial small subunit ribosomal RNA", at positions 185 to 776 of the family's 1533-position model. The record is from RNAcentral. Lineage: Bacteria; Pseudomonadati; Bacteroidota.
AUCAUAUGAUUAUUAAAGCUCCGGCGGAUAGGGAUGAGCAUGCGGCUGAUUAGCUAGUUGGUGAGGUAAUGGCUCACCAAGGCAACGAUCAGUAGGGGGUCUGAGAGGAUGUCCCCCCACACUGGUACUGAGACACGGACCAGACUCCUACGGGAGGCAGCAGUAGGGAAUAUUGGUCAAUGGGGGCAACCCUGAACCAGCCAUGCCGCGUGCAGGAAUAAGGCCCUAUGGGUCGUAAACUGCUUUUGUAUGGGAAAAAAUCACGUUACGCGUAAUGUGUUGAUGGUACCAUGAGAAUAAGGAUCGGCUAACUUCGUGCCAGCAGCCGCGGUAAUACGAAGGAUCCAAGCGUUGUCCGGAUUUACUGGGUUUAAAGGGUGCGUAGGCGGAUGUCUAAGUCAGUGGUGAAAGCCGGCAGCUUAACUGUCGAAUUGCCAUUGAAACUGGACGUCUCGAGUGCGGUUGAGGUGACUGGAAUGUAACAUGUAGCGGUGAAAUGCAUAGAUAUGUUACAGAACACCGAUUGCGAAGGCAGGUCACUAAACCGUAACUGACGCUGAGGCACGAAAGCGUGGGGAUCAAACAGG